This 936-nucleotide long non-coding RNA is filed under the name Lupinus angustifolius (narrow-leaved blue lupine). Its description in RNAcentral is "long non-coding RNA (LANG_LNC001629)". The record is from RNAcentral. Lineage: Eukaryota; Viridiplantae; Streptophyta; Magnoliopsida; Fabales; Fabaceae.
GGUGGAAUUUGAUUAGUUUAGAACAUAAUAACAUGAACAUUUGGGGAUAGAGGAUUGAUUGGUAGAUAGAAUAGUACAACAUUGCCUAAUACAUUAACACAUAUAUCUACACACAUAUGUAUUUGGUCAUAUAAUACGAUAGAUAUAUAUAUGUGUGUGUGUGAGAGUAAUCACGCUGAAGCUGCAUAGGGAAUGGGAAGAGAUUUGGGAUGAAUUAUAACAUUAUUGAAAGGCCUUGGAGGAGAUCUAAGCAGCCCUGGGAUUGGUCCGGGUGAAUAGCCGGGAACCGGAGGUGGCGGUGAGUGGUGGCGCGGUGGAGAGUGUGGAGGAGAUCUUUUUAAGAGUCCUGGAUAAUAGCUAGUAGGAAGAGGUGGAUGUAUAUGUCUUCCCUCUGAACCUGCACCCUUCAUAAACCACCACCUGCUCCAUUUCUCUGCUUAACCAAUAUAUAUAUAUAUAUACACACACACAAUACGACACGUUAGAUCGAUAUAGAUUGACGCAAAUCAUGUUCGUCGUGCUGCCCCUCCUAUAUAUAUCAUCUAUUAAAUUGAUCACUAUGUACCCAAAAAGUUUUAAUUUACACACACUAACGCAUGCAUGCUACACCUAAGAAAAGAUACUCAUGUUGAGUUUUGAUCAUAUAUUGAAGAAGAUGGAAGCAAGAUUUAAUUUCAACAUCUCACAAUCGAAUGUAAAGAUCUUUACCAGUGGAACUAAUAAAUUAAAUAAUACCUUCGCAUAAAUCAAAGUUUGUUAAUUAACCAAGCUUUUCACCAAAAUAAAUGAAAAGAAAAUUACCCAACGUCAAAAGACUUCUAGCUUCUGUGGCAGCUGGAGCAAACAAAAAGACAUGGAGAGAGAGAGAAAAUAAAAAGACAUGGAGAGUCUUCAUCUUCUUCUUCUGCUAAUUGAGUUGAUUAUACAUGAUGUUCC